UAUCCUGGCUCAGGAUGAACGCUAGCGGCAGGCUUAACACAUGCAAGUCGAGGGGUAUAGUUCUUCGGAACUAGAGACCGGCGCACGGGUGCGUAACGCGUAUGCAAUCUACCUUUCACAGAGGGAUAGCCCAGAGAAAUUUGGAUUAAUACCUCAUAGUAUAACGACCUGGCAUCAGGAUGUUAUUAAAGUCACAACGGUGAAAGAUGAGCAUGCGUCCCAUUAGCUAGUUGGUAAGGUAACGGCUUACCAAGGCUACGAUGGGUAGGGGUCCUGAGAGGGAGAUCCCCCACACUGGUACUGAGACACGGACCAGACUCCUACGGGAGGCAGCAGUGAGGAAUAUUGGACAAUGGGCGCAAGCCUGAUCCAGCCAUGCCGCGUGCAGGAUGACGGUCCUAUGGAUUGUAAACUGCUUUUAUACAGGAAGAAACACUUGCUCGUGAGCAAACUUGACGGUACUGUAAGAAUAAGGAUCGGCUAACUCCGUG
This 491-nucleotide ribosomal RNA is filed under the name uncultured Flavobacterium sp. RNAcentral describes it as "bacterial SSU rRNA". It matches the Rfam family "Bacterial small subunit ribosomal RNA", at positions 15 to 507 of the family's 1533-position model. The record is from RNAcentral. Lineage: Bacteria; Pseudomonadati; Bacteroidota; Flavobacteriia; Flavobacteriales; Flavobacteriaceae.